Molecule: long non-coding RNA, 682 nt
Organism: Sarcophilus harrisii (Tasmanian devil)
Lineage: Eukaryota; Metazoa; Chordata; Mammalia; Dasyuromorphia; Dasyuridae
Exons: 2
Source: RefSeq, a predicted model, not a curated record
AAAAAAAAAAAAAAAAAAACACCAGUGAAAAACUGAAGACAAGUAGAAGGAUGUUCCUGCUAAUCACUGGCCUUCCUAAAACAUGGUACCCAGAACGACACACUACUCCAGAAGCCUUCUGUCUUAAAUGAGUAACAUUUAGAUCAUCGCUUCUCUCAAGACUAAUAUUGCCAUGCAUCACUCUUGCCUUUUAUUGAUCUUGUAAUCCACUAUUACUCCCCAUUUUUUCACAUGAACUUUUUUGUCUUUGUCUACACUUUAUACUAAUUAAAAUGAUUUUUUUUGAAUCAGUGAAGACCUUGGCAUUUAUUUCUAUGAAAUUAAGUCCACUGUUUUAAAUUUAUCAUUGCCCUCUAAAUUGUAAAUCCUUAUCAUGGCCUACCAGAGUUCUCCUCCAAAAUCUCAACAUGGCAUGGAGAUGCCCCCUGAUUCUUAAAGGCUAUAUCAACAUCAUAACAAAUGACAGGUUUUGGAAUAACAUGAAUUUGAGAAUGGGCCAAAGGACUAACAAUACAUUUAUCUUACAGAAAACCAAUCUUCAUUACUAAAGAGCUAUCCAAGAGGUGAUUAAUUUUUUUUAGCCACUAGUAAUCUUUAAAAUCCAGAAACUGCCCAGAGCUUUGAUCUGUUACUGGAGGGACUACCUAGACCCCCAUAAUCACAUAUCCUUAAAGUAUGCAAA